Molecule: long non-coding RNA, 210 nt
Filed under: Homo sapiens (human)
Lineage: Eukaryota; Metazoa; Chordata; Mammalia; Primates; Hominidae
Description: HSALNT0389752
Source: RNAcentral
CAGCGGGAUGGACCUGGCCAUCUUCUGAGGGGCCCUUCGUGAUAACGGGCUGCUCAGCAGGAGGAGGUCCUGCAGGUGGUGGCUCAGCAGGAGGAGGUCCUGCAGGUGGUGCUGCAAGGGGUCGGCUGGCCGCAGGGGGGCCGGCAGCAGGGGGACUGCACAGACACAGGCUGGCAGCAGGUGGUGGCCCAGCAGCAGGGCCUGCACACC